RNAcentral lists this ribosomal RNA (386 nucleotides) under Plestiodon chinensis formosensis. RNAcentral describes it as "partial 12S rRNA". It matches the Rfam family "Bacterial small subunit ribosomal RNA", at positions 830 to 1384 of the family's 1533-position model. The record is from RNAcentral. Lineage: Eukaryota; Metazoa; Chordata; Lepidosauria; Squamata; Scincidae.
GCUUAGCCGUUAACUAAGGUAGUAUAAACACAGCACCACCCGCCAGAGAACUACAAGUGAAAAACUUAAAACUCCAAGGACUUGGCGGUGCUCCACACCAGCCUAGAGGAGCCUGUCCUAUAAUCGAUAACCCACGUUCCACCUUACCAUCUUUUGCCCUGCAGCCUAUAUACCGCCGUCGUCAGCCUACCUUCUGAAAGAAGCAAAGUAGACAAAAUAGUUCACUAACUAGCACGUCAGGUCAAGGUGUAGCACAUAAGAUGGAAGAGAUGGGCUACAUUUUCUACCACAGAAAACACGAACAGCCCGAUGAAACCCGGGCUUAAAGGCGGAUUUAGAAGUAAGACAAACAAGAAACCUUGUCUUAAACCCGCUCUGGAGCGCGC